RNAcentral lists this long non-coding RNA (1812 nucleotides) under Homo sapiens (human). Its description in RNAcentral is "HSALNT0312427". Lineage: Eukaryota; Metazoa; Chordata; Mammalia; Primates; Hominidae. The record is from RNAcentral.
UUUGUGCAGAGGUGACAGAAAUGAGGCUGGUAGCUCCUUCAGGGUGCUGUAAAGUGAGGUUGGAACUCAGAGCUAGAGAAGAAGAGCCUGGAGCUUGGUGUGACAGUUGGAGCUCCAGUAACUGUCUUGGGUGAUGAGUUACCCUGGGAUGGAAGUUGGCGCUGAGGAUGGCGUGUGCAGAUUGCAGUGUGGUUCUCUCUCCCACUCCGCCCUGGAUCUGCUGACAUGCCUCAUUUUCUCCUCGUCCUGCCAGCAGCUGUAUGUCCUUCCUCACGUCUAGCCACCGUGCCUUUCAGGAUGCCAGCUCUCUGUGCUACGGCUGUGCCUCUUCCCUGAAUUACUCAGGUCUAUGCUAAGUUUUGGGCUCUCGCAACUUCCCUGGAUUCUCCCCAGAAUGAGAGUACAAGCCCCGGUUUUCGGAUUCCCCAAUCAACAUGAGGGUUUUGCCACUCCGCAACGGGCUCAGUUCUGUAGCAGUGUCUGGAAUGACCAGCAUCUAAGCCUUCUUUCCUUCCUUUCUGGUCCUUACACUUCCUCCCCAACUUGUAGAAACUUUAUAGGUGGCAAAAGGUACAAGGAACAAGAUAACGUCUCUCUUUUGUUAUAUAUGACUCUAAAUUUCAAAACAUCUAUGACUUUUGAAACACAAAACUGUCAGAAUUAUUUCCCUUCUUCUCCCCAUCCUGUGAUAACAUCCUUUUUCUGAGAUAAUAAAAGCCGUUGGCCCAGGUUCCCAGAGUGGGGAAAGGGUUGGCAGCCAUAGGAAGUACUACCGGGCCAAAGCAUCAGUGUGUAUCUUGCAAUACCUUACCACAUUGAGAAAAGGGGGAGGAGACACUAGGAGAAGAGCUGAACAGCAUCAGAGCCAGAGAUGGAUCAGGUCAGUAUUGGCAAUGUAGUUAAGAGCAGUGUGAUGCUGCUGCUGAAAUAUCAGAGUCCUGUAUGUCUCCCCUGUCUCUCCUCAAAGUCCCAUGGGGGGGACCUCAUCACUCAUCAUGAGAGGAAGCUGCUCUCAAGCCCACCUUGCAGCAUGGAGGAAAGAAAGGAGCCCACAUCUGAGGAUGCCCAGCAUGGCCUGGGCCCUUGAACAACAGGGUCACAGCCAAGGAUUCUCACCCCUCCAAUGUGGCAGAGGGGCCCCACUCUGGGGAAGGUGGCCUGCUCAGGGUCACAGUGGGUGGAGCAGCUUUCAAGGCACCCAGCAUUUAAUAAUUGAUCCUGUCAAAAAUCAUCGAUGGGUGCUAAAACAAGUGGGCCUAAGUUUGCUGAGGAACAGGCAUUCAUAGCAUCUCCACAUAUGAUAUUCAAAGUCUCAAAGUCUCUUUCAAAGCCACCAAAUUUAACGUCACCAGUUAUGGGACAAAUUGACAUUGUGUGCCUUCUGAUAGGAUGCACUGAGAAAAACACAUCGCUUUUGUGACAUUUCUGGCCAAAAUGUCUAACCUGAAUCUAAUCACAAGGAAACAUCAGACAAACCCAAACUGAGGGACAGUCUACAACAGUAACUGGUCUGUAUUCCCGAAAAACAUCAAGGUCACGAAAAUCAAAGGGAAGGCUAAGGAGCCAUUUCCAGUGGAAAAAGACUGAAUAGAAGGGACACCCAAAAGCAACGUGGAUUUGAUCCUAGACCAGAGAGGAAAGGGUGUUUAUGACGGCCAUCUUUGAGGCAGGCAGCUGCAUCUGAAAGGGCCCCUCGAUUGGAUGGUUGCAUUUCUCUCCAUGUUAAUUUCCUGAUUUGGGUGAUUGUAUUAUCUUUAUGUAAGGACGCUUGUUCUUAGGAAAUAAAUGCUGAAAUAUUUAGGGAUGAAGGAG